GCUUGUCUCAAAGAUUAAGCCAUGCAUGUCUAAGUAUAAAUAUCUAUACUGUGAAACUGCGUAUGGCUCAUUAAAUCAGUUAUAGUUUAUUUGAUGAUACCCCACUACAUGGAUAACCGUGGUAAUUCUAGAGCUAAUACAUGCUGUAAAGCCCGACUUUUCGGAAGGGCCGUAUUUAUUAGAUAACAGACCAAUAUUCCUCGUGUCUAUUGUGGUGAAUCAUAGUAACUAAUCGGAUCGCAUGGGCUAGUCCCGCGACAAACCAUUCAAGUUUCUGCCCCAUCAGCUUUCGAUGGUAGUGUAUUGGACUACCAUGGCUUUUACGGGUAACGGAGGAUUAGGGUUCGAUUCCGGAGAGGGAGCCUGAGAAACGGCUACCACAUCUAAGGAAGGCAGCAGG
Molecule: ribosomal RNA, 400 nt
Filed under: uncultured Rimostrombidium
Lineage: Eukaryota; Ciliophora; Spirotrichea; Choreotrichida; Strobilidiidae
Description: partial small subunit ribosomal RNA
Rfam family: Eukaryotic small subunit ribosomal RNA
Source: RNAcentral